This 1482-nucleotide long non-coding RNA is filed under the name Linum usitatissimum (flax). Its description in RNAcentral is "long non-coding RNA (LUSI_LNC007874)". Lineage: Eukaryota; Viridiplantae; Streptophyta; Magnoliopsida; Malpighiales; Linaceae. The record is from RNAcentral.
AAGAAUAUGGUGCAGUGCUUUUGGCCAGCACCAACCGAUCAGAUCCAGAAGCUUCUCACGGCAUUGCCCAUUAUGAUCAGUGGGAUCUGCGCCACCUUGUUUGCAGUUUUCCCCACCAAACGCCAUGGAAUCGGAUUCCCCCUAUCUGCAAAUUGAAAUGUUGUGAAGUUCAAUUAGAUGGUAUUCAUGUUUGGUGUAUAAAUAAAUCUGCUGUAAAAUAUUUGUAGUGUUUUCUUCUUGGUUCACUUUGGUGUAUAAAUAAAAUGAUCACUAAGGCUCUCCCCUGGCGUUAAUCAUAAUACAAUCAAAAUAAAGUUGAUAACUUUUACUCUUUCAUGCACAUUGUGAAAAUUUGAAAGCUAGUGGAGACCACAGCUCAAUGCGAGUAUGUACUGAACUAUACCAAAAGGUUAUAAGCAUCGAGAGCCCAGGUCAAGGAACAAAGUAGCUCGACCAAUAAGGAGAGGAGCCUAAUACCCAAUUCCUUCAUAUACCUAUAUAGCUGGAUGAAAAUUGUACAAUCUAAGCUCGAUUGUGUUUGAAAGACAAAUUGUUUAGGUCUAUACACAGUUUUACAAUCCAAACUCAUUGUGUACUACUCUAAUCCAGUUUGAAAGAAUAAAAUUACAGAGAAUGUAAGCUUCUUAUGGUUAAGACCAUAUACAAUCAAGCCACCAACACAUUGCUGCUCAGUUAACCAUUUUUAGUAGUCUAACCUGGAUUUUUAAUAGUUUAGCUUGCAAUUCAAUACUUGUUUGGAUCUUUAAUACAGGGACUGAAUCAGCAAGACUAAAACUUCAAUUUGAAAACAAGUUUAACAAAAUUAAGGCAACUUGAAUACACUAUGUGCAAUUGAAUCAGUACGGCUUCUCGAUAACCGGGAAGAAGGGUAAUCAAGAAGUUGAUUCAGAAGAAAUGAUCUUCUCCCAGUGGAUUGAACAUUCCAUUUCGCCCACUCAAGAUAACGAACCAGCCAUUCACUUACAAAAUAUCUUGUCACCAAAAACAAAUAAUUCUAAACUAUUCCCCCUGCCCCACGUCAUACGCAAUACAGCACAAGAGUGAAGCAAGUGUCCUACUUAAGAAGGUUUACGGAUCUACUGCAAGGAAUCCCCUACCCAAAAAGGUGGCCAGCCGCCAGCCCAACGUUAUAAAUAUCCCCAAGAACGUCAACCAAGACACACUUACAAUAAUGGAAACAUUGGGGUCAGCAGGUAAUACAAUGGAGAUAAAAGUAGUAGAGAAAGAAGAAAGAACUACCUCCAGCUGCAAUGACAGCAACAACAGUAAAAGCCUCCUCACAGCAGUCCCCAACAGCAAAAGCAAAACAGCGAUUCAGCAAGCUAUCAACCAGACGUUCAAGAGCACAGCUCACCUGGCCAACCUUUUGCCAACUGGGACGGUUCUGGCGUUCCACCUUCUGGCACCUGUGUUCUCCAACGAGGGCAAAUGUGUUUCCACCGGAAGGUACAUGACCAUGGG